GGGCCCGCACAAGCAGCGGAGCAUGUUGUUUAAUUCGACGCAACGCGAAGAACCUUACCAGGUCUUGACAUCCUGCUAACGAAGUAGAAAUACAUCAGGUGCCCUUCGGGGAAAGCAGAGACAGGUGGUGCAUGGUUGUCGUCAGCUCGUGUCGUGAGAUGUUGGGUUAAGUCCCGCAACGAGCGCAACCCUUAUGUUUAGUUACUAACGCGUAGAGGCGAGGACUCUAGACAGACUGCCGGGGACAACUCGGAGGAAGGUGGGGACGACGUCAAAUCAUCAUGCCCCUUAUGAUCUGGGCUACAAACGUGCUACAAUGGCCAGUACAAAGGGAAGCGAGCCGGUAACGGUAAGCGGAUCCCAAAAAGUGGUCUCAGUUCGGAUCGUGGGCUGCAACCCGCCCACGUGAAGUUGGAGUUGCUAGUAAUCGCGAAUCAGCAUGUCG
Molecule: ribosomal RNA, 445 nt
Filed under: uncultured Bacillota bacterium
Lineage: Bacteria; Bacillati; Bacillota
Description: bacterial SSU rRNA
Rfam family: Bacterial small subunit ribosomal RNA
Source: RNAcentral